RNAcentral lists this ribosomal RNA (253 nucleotides) under uncultured bacterium. RNAcentral describes it as "partial 16S ribosomal RNA". It matches the Rfam family "Bacterial small subunit ribosomal RNA", at positions 524 to 776 of the family's 1533-position model. The record is from RNAcentral.
UACGUAGGGGGCUAGCGUUGUCCGGAAUCAUUGGGCGUAAAGCGCGUGUAGGCGGCUCGGUAAGUCCGCUGUGAAAGUCGGGGGCUCAACCCUCGGAUGCCGGUGGAUACUGUCGGGCUAGAGUACGGGAGAGGCGCGUGGAAUUGCAGGUGUAGCGGUGAAAUGCGUAGAUAUCUGCAGGAACACCCGUGGCGAAAGCGGCGCGCUGGACCACUACUGACGCUGAGGAACGAAAGCUAGGGGAGCAAACAGG